Molecule: ribosomal RNA, 576 nt
Filed under: uncultured eukaryote
Lineage: Eukaryota
Description: eukaryotic LSU rRNA
Rfam family: 5.8S ribosomal RNA (bases 182-335)
Source: RNAcentral
AACAAGGUCUCCGUUGGUGAACCAGCGGAGGGAUCAUUAUCGAGUUAUUCAACUCCCAAACCCUAUGUGAACUUACCACUUGUUGCUUCGGCGCGCGCUUCGGCGCCGCCGAGGACACUUAAACUCUUUGUUUUUAUAAGCAUUUCUGAGUGGCCGAAAGGCAAAAAUACAAAUGAAUCAAAACUUUCAACAACGGAUCUCUUGGUUCUGGCAUCGAUGAAGAACGCAGCGAAAUGCGAUAAGUAAUGUGAAUUGCAGAAUUCAGUGAAUCAUCGAAUCUUUGAACGCACAUUGCGCCCGCCAGCAUUCUGGCGGGCAUGCCUGUUCGAGCGUCAUUUCAACCCUCGAGCCCGACUCUUUUGAGGACGGCUCGGCGUUGGGGGACGGCAGACUCCCCCCGGCAUCUCGCCGGGGACGCCGCCCCCGAAAUCUAGUGGCGGCCCUCCGAGGCGACCUCUGCGUAGUAACUUGUUCUCGCACCGGAAAGCUCAGAGUGGCCACGCCAUAAAACCCCAACUUUUUUCAGGUUGACCUCGAAUCAGGUAGGACUACCCGCUGAACUUAAGCAUAUCAAUA